AGAGUUUGAUCCUGGCUCAGGAUGAACGCUAGCUACAGGCUUAACACAUGCAAGUCGAGGGGAAACGACAUCGAAAGCUUGCUUUUGAUGGGCGUCGACCGGCGCACGGGUGAGUAACGCGUAUCCAACCUGCCCACCACUUGGGGAUAACCUUGCGAAAGUAAGACUAAUACCCAAUGAUAUCUCUAGAAGACAUCUGAAAGAGAUUAAAGAUUUAUCGGUGAUGGAUGGGGAUGCGUCUGAUUAGCUUGUUGGCGGGGUAACGGCCACCAAGGCGACGAGUCAGUAGGGGUUCUGAGAGGAAGGUCCCCACAUUGGAACUGAGACACGGUCCGAAACUCCUACGGGAUGCA
This 353-nucleotide ribosomal RNA is filed under the name uncultured bacterium. RNAcentral describes it as "bacterial SSU rRNA". It matches the Rfam family "Bacterial small subunit ribosomal RNA", at positions 8 to 350 of the family's 1533-position model. The record is from RNAcentral.